GGCCUUAGUUUGACUUUUAAGAGUUUUACUGCUUGCUUGAGGCAUUUGGGGUAAUGUGAGGGGGUAAAAGCUUCUACUGAAGUAGUUCUAAGCACCUGAGCUGGUGGGAUGGGCUGUGCUGAGCUGGCUUGCCCUAUAGAGGAGAGCAAAAGGGAGAGUAUCUGCAAAACAGGGGAGUGUUUUAGAAAUGGAAGUAGGGCUCCUCUUUGUGAAAAAGGAAGGUCCUGGUUAUUUGAAGACUGGACAGGAUCAACUGAGCAAGCAGGUAGGAACUACUCCAAGUGGAAGGUGUCCUGUCAUCUGAAAGGGACUGCAAAGUGCACUAAAAUAACAGGCUUGGAUAGAUGAAGCUCUUGUGUAACUGAGAGAGCACUUUGUGCCAACUUCCAGUUUGAAUACAGAUUAGUCACUUGUGCAGAGCCUUCAAUGAAGUCCUGGUCCUGCAGGGAAUUUGGGAGGCAUGCUGCAUGGGAUUUCUGCUACCUCUGCUGGAACUGCAACAAAGAUGUCAAGGUCUUUGUGG
Molecule: long non-coding RNA, 523 nt
Organism: Neopsephotus bourkii (Bourke's parrot)
Lineage: Eukaryota; Metazoa; Chordata; Aves; Psittaciformes; Psittacidae
Exons: 4
Source: RefSeq, a predicted model, not a curated record